UUAAGUUAUUAAGGGCGCACGGUGGAUGCCUUGGCACUAGAAGCCGAUGAAGGACGUUACUAACGACGAUAUGCUUUGGGGAGCUGUAAGUAAGCUUUGAUCCAGAGAUUUCCGAAUGGGGAAACCCAGCAUGAGUUAUGUCAUGUUAUCGAUAUGUGAAUACAUAGCAUAUCAGAAGGCACACCCGGAGAACUGAAACAUCUUAGUACCCGGAGGAAGAGAAAGAAAAUUCGAUUCCCUUAGUAGCGGCGAGCGAAAUGGGAAGAGCCCAAACCAACAAGCUUGCUUGUUGGGGUUGUAGGACACUCUAUACGGAGUUACAAAGGACGACAUUAGACGAAUCAUCUGGAAAGAUGAAUCAAAGAAGGUAAUAAUCCUGUAGUCGAAAAUGUUGUCUCUCUUGAGUGGAUCCUGAGUACGACGGAGCACGUGAAAUUCCGUCGGAAUCUGGGAGGACCAUCUCCUAAGGCUAAAUACUCUCUAGUGACCGAUAGUGAACCAGUACCGUGAGGGAAAGGUGAAAAGCACCCCGGAAGGGGAGUGAAAUAGAACCUGAAACCGUGUGCUUACAAGUAGUCAGAGCCCGUUAAUGGGUGAUGGCGUGCCUUUUGUAGAAUGAACCGGCGAGUUACGAUUUGAUGCAAGGUUAAGCAGUAAAUGUGGAGCCGUAGCGAAAGCGAGUCUGAAUAGGGCGUUUAGUAUUUGGUCGUAGACCCGAAACCAGGUGAUCUACCCUUGGUCAGGUUGAAGUUCAGGUAACACUGAAUGGAGGACCGAACCGACUUACGUUGAAAAGUGAGCGGAUGAACUGAGGGUAGCGGAGAAAUUCCAAUCGAACCUGGAGAUAGCUGGUUCUCUCCGAAAUAGCUUUAGGGCUAGCCUCAAGUGAUGAUUAUUGGAGGUAGAGCACUGUUUGGACGAGGGGCCCCUCUCGGGUUACCGAAUUCAGACAAACUCCGAAUGCCAAUUAAUUUAACUUGGGAGUCAGAACAUGGGUGAUAAGGUCCGUGUUCGAAAGGGAAACAGCCCAGACCACCAGCUAAGGUCCCAAAAUAUAUGUUAAGUGGAAAAGGAUGUGGCGUUGCCCAGACAACUAGGAUGUUGGCUUAGAAGCAGCCAUCAUUUAAAGAGUGCGUAAUAGCUCACUAGUCGAGUGACACUGCGCCGAAAAUGUACCGGGGCUAAACAUAUUACCGAAGCUGUGGAUUGUCCUUUGGACAAUGGUAGGAGAGCGUUCUAAGGGCGUUGAAGCAUGAUCGUAAGGACAUGUGGAGCGCUUAGAAGUGAGAAUGCCGGUGUGAGUAGCGAAAGACGGGUGAGAAUCCCGUCCACCGAUUGACUAAGGUUUCCAGAGGAAGGCUCGUCCGCUCUGGGUUAGUCGGGUCCUAAGCUGAGGCCGACAGGCGUAGGCGAUGGAUAACAGGUUGAUAUUCCUGUACCACCUAUAAUCGUUUUAAUCGAUGGGGGGACGCAGUAGGAUAGGCGAAGCGUGCGAUUGGAUUGCACGUCUAAGCAGUAAGGCUGAGUAUUAGGCAAAUCCGGUACUCGUUAAGGCUGAGCUGUGAUGGGGAGAAGACAUUGUGUCUUCGAGUCGUUGAUUUCACACUGCCGAGAAAAGCCUCUAGAUAGAAAAUAGGUGCCCGUACCGCAAACCGACACAGGUAGUCAAGAUGAGAAUUCUAAGGUGAGCGAGCGAACUCUCGUUAAGGAACUCGGCAAAAUGACCCCGUAACUUCGGGAGAAGGGGUGCUCUUUAGGGUUAACGCCCAGAAGAGCCGCAGUGAAUAGGCCCAAGCGACUGUUUAUCAAAAACACAGGUCUCUGCUAAACCGUAAGGUGAUGUAUAGGGGCUGACGCCUGCCCGGUGCUGGAAGGUUAAGAGGAGUGGUUAGCUUCUGCGAAGCUACGAAUCGAAGCCCCAGUAAACGGCGGCCGUAACUAUAACGGUCCUAAGGUAGCGAAAUUCCUUGUCGGGUAAGUUCCGACCCGCACGAAAGGCGUAACGAUUUGGGCACUGUCUCAACGAGAGACUCGGUGAAAUCAUAGUACCUGUGAAGAUGCAGGUUACCCGCGACAGGACGGAAAGACCCCGUGGAGCUUUACUGUAGCCUGAUAUUGAAAUUCGGCACAGCUUGUACAGGAUAGGUAGGAGCCUUUGAAACGUGAGCGCUAGCUUACGUGGAGGCGCUGGUGGGAUACUACCCUAGCUGUGUUGGCUUUCUAACCCGCACCACUUAUCGUGGUGGGAGACAGUGUCAGGCGGGCAGUUUGACUGGGGCGGUCGCCUCCUAAAAGGUAACGGAGGCGCUCAAAGGUUCCCUCAGAAUGGUUGGAAAUCAUUCAUAGAGUGUAAAGGCAUAAGGGAGCUUGACUGCGAGACCUACAAGUCGAGCAGGGUCGAAAGACGGACUUAGUGAUCCGGUGGUUCCGCAUGGAAGGGCCAUCGCUCAACGGAUAAAAGCUACCCCGGGGAUAACAGGCUUAUCUCCCCCAAGAGUUCACAUCGACGGGGAGGUUUGGCACCUCGAUGUCGGCUCAUCGCAUCCUGGGGCUGUAGUCGGUCCCAAGGGUUGGGCUGUUCGCCCAUUAAAGCGGUACGCGAGCUGGGUUCAGAACGUCGUGAGACAGUUCGGUCCCUAUCCGUCGUGGGCGUAGGAAAUUUGAGAGGAGCUGUCCUUAGUACGAGAGGACCGGGAUGGACAUACCUCUGGUGUACCAGUUGUCGUGCCAACGGCAUAGCUGGGUAGCUAUGUGUGGACGGGAUAAGUGCUGAAAGCAUCUAAGCAUGAAGCCCCCCUCAAGAUGAGAUUUCCCAACUUCGGUUAUAAGA
This 2830-nucleotide ribosomal RNA is filed under the name Staphylococcus aureus H75425. RNAcentral describes it as "bacterial LSU rRNA". It matches the Rfam family "Bacterial large subunit ribosomal RNA". The record is from RNAcentral. Lineage: Bacteria; Bacillati; Bacillota; Bacilli; Caryophanales; Staphylococcaceae.